AUUGAACGCUGGCGGCAGGCUUAACACAUGCAAGUCGAGCGGGGUGAUGGUGCUUGCACUAUCACUUAGCGGCGGACGGGUGAGUAAUGCUUAGGAAUCUGCCUAUUAGUGGGGGACAACAUCUCGAAAGGGAUGCUAAUGCCGCAUACGUCCUACGGGAGAAAGCAGGGGAUCACUUGUGACCUUGCGCUAAUAGAUGAGCCUAAGUCGGAUUAGCUAGUUGGUGGGGUAAAGGCCUACCAAGGUGACGAUCUGUAGCGGGUCUGAGAGGAUGAUCCGCCACACUGGGACUGAGACACGGCCCAGACUCCUACGGGAGGCAGCAGUGGGGAAUAUUGGACAAUGGGGGGAACCCUGAUCCAGCCAUGCCGCGUGUGUGAAGAAGGCCUUAUGGUUGUAGAGCACUUUAAGCGAGGAGGAGGCUCUUUUGGUUAAUACCCAAGAUGAGUGGACGUUACUCGCAGAAUAAGCACCGGCUAACUCUGUGCCAGCAGCCGCAGUAA
Molecule: ribosomal RNA, 503 nt
Filed under: uncultured bacterium
Lineage: Bacteria
Description: partial 16S ribosomal RNA
Rfam family: Bacterial small subunit ribosomal RNA
Source: RNAcentral